CGCUGCCCCUGGCUUUCACAUGGGCUGUAAUUUAGUUCAAUUCAGAACUGCAGACAGUACAGCUUUCACAGAAGCAAGGGAUGCCUGAGCACAAGUGGCUGAGUUCCGAGUGACUUUGUGAAGCACUUUCCUACCUCCCUCCUUCAGGAAAACGGGGAUUCUGCACCUGCAUCAGGGACAGUCUGGCAAAAGCCUCUGCUGUGCCUCCGGGGACAAGGAACUAGCACAAAUAACCAUUUUGAAAUUGGAUCUUGGCAAAAUUUGUAACGAAACCAUAAAGGAAACUGAAAGUACUGUGAUCUUCCUCUUCAAUGACAGUCCCACAAAAGUUGAAGAAAUAUGUUAUGUCUCCAAAGAAGAGUACAGUCGUGCCCUAAAAUUAGGACAUGAUUAAGAUACUAUCAAGUCAGCAGAAUUCUGAGUUUAGAGGUUGCUUCAGUGAACAUUCAACGCUGUCGGUGAGUUUGGAAUUAAAAUCAAAACCAUCGACCGUUGAUUGUACCCUAUGGCUAACCAUCAUCCGCUACUCCAUGGCUUUCAGAAUUUGCAGAAGACGGAAACUCAAAGCAGGACACCCCAGGAUGUUCUCUUCCCCACGCAGAGACUACUUUUUAAAAGGUCACAAUCAACAUUCAUUGCUGUCGGUGGGUUGAACUGUGUGGACAAGCUCACUGAACAAUGAAUGCAACUGUGGCCCCGCUUUUUGCAGACACAAUCGAGAGAGACCUCACCUUUGAAAGAUGUAUUGGAUGUAGUCAUGCGGAUCUCUAACUUUUCCAGUCGGCAACAUCUUCAGGUUUACUUCCUCAGUUUUUAUCAUGAUGAUCAGAUUUAGAUGAAAAAGGCACUAGUUGAAGCAAGAAUAAUACUUCUCUACAUUUCUGAUGAUACAGAGCACCUUUUUUUAAAAAAAAGUAACCUGUUUUAUUCAUGGAAUCUAUAAGAUAAUCAUUUAAGUUAGCACACCUUCCUACUGUCGCAGUGUGGGUGGGAGAGAAGACAUAAAGAAACACAUCAACACCCAAGCCAUCUGGCACCCAUGCCCUUAAUAACAACAGCACUUAAAAAUAUCAUUCUAUCUUUUAUUAGAUUUCUUGGUCAAAUUAGGACAGAAACACCCGGUAAUUUUAUAUUUCUGUUGCUCUGGGUGGGGACAGACUCAAGUAAUCCUUCCUCUUGCUAUGGUAUUUGCUAAGGAGGAAAAAAAAUAUAUAUAAAUAGCUACGUAACAGGACAUUUGUGAGAGUCAUAUGGUAGAUUGAUUUCUCUAAUUAAAUCCAACUUUAAGAUAAAACUUUACCCACUUUCUUUAUGCUUCGCCUUCAAAGAUGCUGAUCUGUAUUAUUAGACUUACAACCGUGAUCUAUUAAUUGCCUCAUAUUACUCAUCUGACUUCUUCACAAAAAGGCUAUGUAUGUCAUGGUUUUUCUGAAAUGGUUUGGCUCUCGGUUUUUAUAUUGAACUAUUGUCACUGAAUUCUACCACAGCAGUUUUUAAGCUUAUCACUUGAAAUAAUUAUUGUAUUGUGAUAUGUAAUAAUAGUAAUUAUAAUAACAUAAAUCCAUCAAGAAUGUUUAUGUUUGGAAUAUUUGGAAGGCUUGGAUAUUCAUAUUUUAAAAUCUGUCAAAUACAUUAUUCUUUCCAUUCCUUGCCCUUUUCAGUUUUAUUUUCCUUCAAGUCCCAUUGCAGAAACCGGUUCCUGGGACCCAGCUCCAGAUCUCAUCAUGACCAUAAAAUAUUUCACCAUGUUCACGAUCUAAACUGUGGUAUCUCACUUUCUGCCUAUCAUUUCCUACCAUUCUAGUUUCUCACUCUCUUAUCCACAAGGCGACUGUCCUUUCAGUUUUGGUGUUGCUGGGGGGAAAAAAAAAGUCACACAAUCAUAUGGAUGUAUGUUCGUACAUAUCCAUGGGCUUCCAAGUUCCUCGGUCCCUCAACUCUGACCUCAUAUUCUUCACCCUAUUCUCCUGUAGUGAGCCCAAAUAUUUUCCUCCUUCCUCAGCUGCUUCAUCAUUCCAUUUCCAACGGAUAAACUGACCUCUGGUUUUCACUGAGUAGCUUUAGUCCAUCAAAUUGCUCCCUUGAUUUCCUCAGCUAUACUCUACAAACAUAUAGGCUCCUGCCCCAUAGUUAUCUUCCUCAUGCUUUGCUCAGGACACAUAUAUCUCUCUUCAUUCACAGCAUUGGUUCUUUCCAUUUAACAUGUGACAAGGUUGGAGCACCUGGGUGGCUCAGUCAGCUAAGCAUCUGCCUCUUGAUUUUGGCUCAGGUCAUGAUCUCAGGGUCAUGAGAUCGAGCCCCACAACAGGCUCCAUGCUCAGUGGGGAGUCUGCUUCUCUCUCCAUCUCUUUCUCCUUCUGGCCCUCCUCCUGCUUGUGCACUCUCUCUCUCUCUCUUUCUCUCAAAUAAAUACGUCUUUAGAAAGAAACUUACAAGGUUUAGCUUUCUCUCUUCUCAAGCAAAAAACAAAGGAAAUUUAAGAAAAAUCUUCUCUGUAUUUAUUUCAUCCCAUUUUACAACUGAGACUUUGAAAAUAGUGUACAGCACUGUCUAAAUUUAUUGGCUUCCUAUUUUCACAACCACCUGUAAUUUGUCUUCUUCUUCCAUUCCUCUCUCUGCUUGUGUAUGCUAUUUUUCUACUGAAACCGUUCUUGACCAAAUCACCAGCAAGCUGCAUAUUGACAAAUACAAAUCAUACUUUUCUGCUUGGACUCCCCGUGAUGUCUGUCACUACUGACACUUUUUCCUUCUUUAAAGUCUAGUCUCCAUUGACUUUUGUGACCCUAAUCUCAUUUGAAUUUUUCUGUCUUUAUAACAGUGAUGUCUUUUUUCUUUUUUAGAAGCCUAUUUUAAUCUGUUUAAUCUACCCUUAUAUUUUCUUGCGAGAGACAUUGGCGACUGAAAUUUCAGAGUUUCUUUUCUUUUCAUGCUUCACAAUCUUUGAAGGAAUCUCAGCACAUGUAUAAUGUUUAUAUCUACUUAGAUUCUGCUGAUACUGAAAUCUUUGUCUCCAGUCUAGAUAUCCCAAAUCUGCAUAUCUAAUUGUCUUCUGCUCUUCCUAUAGACCCAAGUCUAUUCAUGACUAUAGUAAACUCAUCAUCUUUCCCCAAGGGGAUAACACCUUUCAUCUACUUGAUAGUCAAAGCCAGAAAUCUUCGUAUCAUUGCAUCUCCUGUCUCUUGUUUUCUGUUCUCUUCUGUACAUAUAAUCACAAUGUCCUAAAGAUGUGAACUUCUUGGAGCACCUGGCUGGCUCAGUCAGAAGAGCAUGCAACUCUUGAUCUCAGGGUUGUAAGUUUAAGCCCCAUGUUGGGCAUAGAGAUUACUUGAAUAAAUAAAAAAAAAAAAAGAUGCUCACUUCUUAUGAACUAAAAUUCCAAUUGUUCUGUGUAUUUCUACUACUUAGUUUAGAAACUCAUACUUCUUGCUUGGACCAUUCCAACAGUGUACAAUUAACCAUCUCUUCAAUAUUUUCUCCACAGUAUUUUUUUUUUAAUUAAAAACUUGACUAUGUUGUAAAACUCUUUAAUUCACUCUGAAUAAAGUUUUCUAAUAUGUUUAAUAGAUGGAUUGUCUGGUGGAAAAAAUGUGAAUAUUAGCUAAGUAGGAAAAAAAUGAAAUUUUACCUGGAAUUUCACAUAAUCCCUCAUGAUUUAGUUCAGAACAUUGAGGAAUUAAUUGAAAUUGUAAAAAAAUUUUCUGAAGGUAUUGCAGUUGAAGAUUUACUAAUCUUGAAAUAGUGAAGAAUUUUCUUGAUAUUAAAGCAAAAAGAAAAAAAUCAUGGGAAGAUCUUAAUCUUCAAUCUGUAGCAUGUCAAAAAAUAUAAUAAAAAG
Molecule: long non-coding RNA, 3832 nt
Filed under: Ailuropoda melanoleuca (giant panda)
Lineage: Eukaryota; Metazoa; Chordata; Mammalia; Carnivora; Ursidae
Description: lncRNA (ENSAMEG00000028278.1)
Rfam family: mir-181 microRNA precursor family (bases 431-513)
Source: RNAcentral